CUCUCGGGGAAACAGAAUAAGGAAAAGCUGAAGCGAAGGCAUCAGUGACUGAGGGCUCCCUCUACUCCCUCACUGGCAGGUCUCACAACUCAGGUCUCAGAGCCAAGGAUACCAUCUAAAGGAGCAAUGGCUGUGCUGUUGCUGCAGGUAUCUGGUGUUCUGCCAGAGCCCGGCUGAGGAUGGGAAGCAACAGAGGCAGCCUGACCCAGGGGGACUGAAAGGUAAUAUUCGAGGCAAGGACUUUAAAUAGCACAAAUGACCUUCAGCAGGAACAACAUUCUAGAGUCAAGAUCCCACUUGAUAGGUGAGAAAGCAUGGGGUCCAUCUCAGAUCAUCAAGGGAGUCAGCCGAGAAUGGCUGUCGCUCGGCAAGAAAAAGCCAGGUGUAAAAUGCUGGAGGUUUCAAAGGGAAGCAGGAAGUAUGGACACACCAUCCAAGAUACAGUUGUUUCUGGAGGGCCAGUGCACAGAGCCCCUCCUACACUCCCUACUGUGAAUGUCGCAGCGGAUGCACAUUUUAAGGUGUCACUGGAGGGGCAGUCAACGUGGUACAGUCUUGUCGUCUCACUAGGAGGACAAAGAUCCAAAAAUCAGCAAGUGUGUCAAAGGUACAUAGCAAAUGUCUGAUUGCUCCCUCAUGG
Long non-coding RNA from Mus musculus (house mouse), 640 nucleotides. RefSeq annotates it as cDNA sequence BC042761. The transcript is spliced from 3 exons. Lineage: Eukaryota; Metazoa; Chordata; Mammalia; Rodentia; Muridae. The record is from RefSeq and is marked validated.